Molecule: ribosomal RNA, 564 nt
Filed under: uncultured Glomeromycotina
Lineage: Eukaryota; Fungi; Glomeromycota
Description: SSU rRNA
Rfam family: Eukaryotic small subunit ribosomal RNA
Source: RNAcentral
UUGGAGGGCAAGUCUGGUGCCAGCAGCCGCGGUAAUUCCAGCUCCAAUAGCGUAUAUUAAAGUUGCUGCAGUUAAAAAGCUCGUAGUUGAAUUUCGGGACCAAUAUGUCGGUCGUGCCUCGGUACGUACCGGCAUCGUUGGUUUCUCCCUUCUGACGAACCAUGAUGUCAUUUAUUUGGUGUCGUGGGGAAUCAGGACUGUUACUUUGAAAAAAUUAGAGAGUUUAAAGCAGGCUCACGCUUGAAUACAUUAGCAUGGAAUAAUGAAAUAGGACGUUUGAUUCUAUUUUGUUGGUUUCUAGGAUCGACGUAAUGAUUAAUAGGGAUAGUUGGGGGCAUUAGUAUUCAAUUGUCAGAGGUGAAAUUCUUGGAUUUAUUGAAGACUAACUACUGCGAAAGCAUUUGCCAAGGAUGUUUUCAUUUAUCAAGAACGAAAGUUAGGGGAUCGAAGACGAUCAGAUACCGUCGUAGUCUUAACCAUAAACUAUGCCGACUAGGGAUCGGAUGAUGUUAAUUUUUUAAUGACUCAUUCGGCGCCUUACGGGAAACCAAAGUGUUUGGGUUC